AUGAUGCAGCAGGUCAUGCAGCUGCACCUCAACGGUGCCAACCACCCGGCGCAGCGCCUCUUCGUCGACACCCCCUCCCCCAUCAUCGCCACUCAGCCGACACGUCGCUCUGCCGCACCACCCAAGAGCAGAGCCGCCUCCGUCCCCGUCAGGCACAGCAUGCACCAGGCUGCUCAGCAGUCCAGCGUCCCGGUGGCAAAGAGGGCGUCCCUAUUGCUGGUCAAGCGCCUCGGCAUGCUGGGACCCAAGGAGAAGAUGACUGCAAAGGCGGCAGAAGCUCUCAUUCGCUGCUUCGACGAGCCGCUGACGGAUGAGGACAUUUCCAUCAUCGCCAAGCUCACGCGCCUCGACCCGGCGGCUCUUCGCAUUGCAGGGAGCAUGGCAGGCCCUGAUGCUGACGCGGACGCCGCGGCUUAG
RNAcentral lists this ribosomal RNA (417 nucleotides) under Triticum aestivum (bread wheat). Its description in RNAcentral is "partial small subunit ribosomal RNA". Lineage: Eukaryota; Viridiplantae; Streptophyta; Magnoliopsida; Poales; Poaceae. The record is from RNAcentral.